Molecule: transfer RNA, 74 nt
Filed under: Colus islandicus
Lineage: Eukaryota; Metazoa; Mollusca; Gastropoda; Neogastropoda; Colidae
Description: tRNA-Val
Rfam family: tRNA
About the family: Transfer RNA (tRNA) molecules are approximately 80 nucleotides in length. Their secondary structure includes four short double-helical elements and three loops (D, anti-codon, and T loops). Further hydrogen bonds mediate the characteristic L-shaped molecular structure. tRNAs have two regions of fundamental functional importance: the anti-codon, which is responsible for specific mRNA codon recognition, and the 3' end, to which the tRNAs corresponding amino acid is attached (by aminoacyl-tRNA synthetases). tRNAs cope with the degeneracy of the genetic code in two manners: having more than one tRNA (with a specific anti-codon) for a particular amino acid; and 'wobble' base-pairing, i.e. permitting non-standard base-pairing at the 3rd anti-codon position.
Source: RNAcentral
AAAAACAUAGUAUAAUAUAAUACAUUUCACUUACACUGAAAAUAUGCUUAAUGUUAAGCUGUUUUUAACCUAAA